This 72-nucleotide transfer RNA is filed under the name Spiroplasma sp. NBRC 100390. It matches the Rfam family "tRNA". From Rfam's summary of the family: Transfer RNA (tRNA) molecules are approximately 80 nucleotides in length. Lineage: Bacteria; Bacillati; Mycoplasmatota; Mollicutes; Entomoplasmatales; Spiroplasmataceae. The record is from Rfam by way of RNAcentral.
UGUGGGGUGGAGCAGUGGUAGCUUGUUGGGCUCAUAACCCAAAGGUCGCAGGUUCAAGUCCUGCCCCCGCAA